Molecule: long non-coding RNA, 688 nt
Filed under: Mytilus galloprovincialis (Mediterranean mussel)
Lineage: Eukaryota; Metazoa; Mollusca; Bivalvia; Mytilida; Mytilidae
Source: RNAcentral
GAUUGUGCGUUUCUCGAAUGGAAUUAUCAUCUUUGCCCUCAGCACUUUACAUGAUGUCAACAUGAUGGGGAGUGCGGGAGAUUCUUCUUACCCUUUUUACAGGACUAUUUGAUUUUGUCUUCGUACGGUUCUUACGCGCAAUGUGAUCUUUUGACGGUUUCUUUUCAAUAUAGGAAGGUUCGAGAUCGAAUCUGCGUUGAUUAUAAUAAAUUUUGACUGGUUUUAUUACUUUUUGGGUAUUAACCAUGGGUGGCAGCUCCCGUGUCAUUUUCAACAGCGAUGAAACAUAAUUUUUAUUAUAUUUGGCUUCCAGACAUGAUUGUGGCCUUUUCUUUAUUGCAUGACCUUCAAUCUUAAAUGAAUUUCUUCUGUGCUUUUCUGACUGGGAGUCGACGAUAUUCUAGGUAGCGGAGCACCACGUGGAAAUGACAGACGACAAUUACCUUCCGGUUUGAUUUGUUCAGUAGGAUUUUCAGAAACUACAACAGCAGCAGAUUUCUGAUCUUUAAGUUUUCCCCAAUCGGUUAUUAGACGAGUUUCCAGUGUUAGCUAUAGUCUCGUUACAAGAAAUCUCAUGAUUGGUUGAGUUUUCAACAAGGCAAUGAUUGUCAGACAUCUUGUGGUCAGGAUUUUUUUAAUUGUGUUGAAUUGUCAAUUUCAUGCGUCUCGAGACUCAGACUUUCUGGCU